GAGACACAUCUAGCUGAAUGAGUCUGUCAAGAUGAAAUAAACUUGAUGGGAUAAUUGAUGAUAACUGGUUGGCAGACAAUAUCAGGUAUUCUAACUUGGUCAGGUUACCAAUCCCCUCUGGUAUUGAACCAGACAAUUUAUUGUUGUAGAGGAACAAACGUUCUAUAUUCUUGAGCAUUGCAAUCUGAGGUGGGAUGGACCCAAACAACUGAUUUCCGUCCAGGUCAAGCCACUUGAGAUUCUCCAUCAUUACGAUGGAUUUUGGAAUCGUGCUAUAUAAACGAUUGUCUGAAAUAUCUAGCCAUUCAAGACAUUUUAGGUUUGAAAUCGUAGCCGGAAGUUGACCAACUAAAUUGUUCUCAGAUGCAAUGAAAAUCUGCAACUGGCUCGACAGGUUCCCCACAUAGUUAGGAAUGCCACCGGUGAAAUUAUUUGAAGAGAUUAGAAUAACCUGGAGCUUUCUAAAAUUAGAAAAAGUAGAUAAGAAGCUAAGAUCCCCCUCUAGGAAGUUCUUAGAAAUAUCAAUAUGAGACAUAGAGUUGAUACUACCAAUUGUUUCUGGUACCGAUCCAAGGAACAUAUUAUCGUUUAAGAGCAGGAAUUCUAAUUCAGACAGGUUACCAAUAGAAGCAGGAAUGGGCCCGACUAGUUGAUUGCCUGAGACAUCCAACCAAAUGAGUUGGUCCAACUGUCCAAACUCUUCGGGAAUGGCUCCUGAUAUGUUACAGCAUGUCAGGUCUAGUAAACCUAGCUGAGUGAGGUUGCUAAGUGCAACUGGAAUUGGACCAACAAGGUGAUUCAAACCCAAGGAAAGGAUACUGAGAUGAGAAAGCUUUCCCAGCCACGUUGGCACAACACCCUCAAAGAAAUUAUCACUGAGGGAGAUAGUUUGGAGGUAGCGACAAGAGGAGAGCCCCAACGGAAUCUCACCGGUGAAUUUGUUGAUGGCCAGGCUGAUCUGUUGCAACGCUGGUAGACUAAAACUUUCGUUGUUAGGGAUUGGACCAGUUAAGUUGUAGUUUGAUACAAGCCAAAUUUCAGUUAAUCUAGAAUUGUUGAAUAUGGAUGGAGGUACCGGGCCGCUGAAAUGAUUCACUUGAAGGACAAGGGACUCAAGCAUUGGUAAGGAGCCAAUACAAGAUGGUAUAUGUCCUGACAGGCUGUUGUUGCCGAAUAUUAGGUGAGUUAUCAGAGGGGUAUUAUUAAAUAGAUAGGUGGGUAUUGAGCCGCUCAGGUAAUUCCUGAAGACACUGAAGUGGCCAAGACUCUGUAGGUUUUGCAGUUCUACCGGGAUUGAACCAGAUAGAUGGUUAUAACUUAUAAUAUAGGGCAAGAACACGAAGCCUUGUGAGGUUUCCUGUGGUGGUUGGGAUGCUACCUGAUAGGCCAUUGAAUCCGAGAUAUAGGUAUUUAAGACGACGAAGCCGUCCUAAAUCAUCAGGGAUGGAGCCCGUGAGAUUUGUAUUGUUGAGGUUGAGGACGGAGAGGAAAGAGAGAUUACCAAGGUGUGGAGUGAUUGGUCCAUGGAGGGGGGAGCCCGGCAGUUCCAAAGCGAUGAUGCGCUGCCGGCGCCGACUGCAUGCGACACCAACCCAGUCACAGAAAUUCGUGUUGGUGGUCCAGUUGUUGGCAAGGAUGCUGAGAGGGUCGGAGAGGUGUGCUUUGAAAGCAAGCAGGGCAACAAGAUCGGUGUCGCUGCCAUUGCUCUUGCUUGGACCAGAGGAAGAAGACGUGGGUACAGUGGACAGCAAGGUGAUGAAGAAGAGAAUGGGUAUGGAUAUGGAUGGAAAUCCAAGUGAGGCCAUGUAUGUUUGGGACAGAGAUGCAAGUGCACGCUUUGGCUUUGGGCUGAUAUGUUAUCGAUCCGUUCAUCCAUCUUAAUAUGGUGGGAAGGGCCGUUUCUGAUAGGCUCCAGCUUCCAAGUGGUGCUUUCGGUGUAAUAUUUUUGUGGAUUAGUGGAGAGAUCCCUAACUGAGAGCUUUUGAUAUAGGAGGCUCCAGCUUUUCCAAGUGGUGCUUUGCUUUCCACAUCAACGACCUUGACUUGCGGUCAAUCACUUGCUGGUCACUAAACGCACAUGCGUACUACUACUACGACAACAGGAAAUAAUGGAGACAAAAAGCUUCUGUUUGAUAUGUAGUGACAUAAGUAUGUACUAGCAAGACCCAAUUCAAGACUUAUAAACUGAGAUGGAGGGAGUAAAUAGAAAAUAAUUGGAUUGCUUUCAGUUUCAACUUUCUAAGACAUUUCUUUCAGCAUUUCGAUACAAGCAGCACUGAAAGCAUAGACCAUAUCUUCCUCCUUCCUACUGACGAUGAUGUGCAUUUACCCUAUGCUAGGCAUGUUUACUGCUGCUAAUGCGAAAGGAUUGGACCAAAUCUCACAUGGCGGGAUGUCGCAGUCAUAGGUGGAAUUCAUUCUUCCACGACAAUUGAUGCGCUAGCAGGCACUGGAGCAACUGGCACAUGCAACUGCCACCUGCCGAUAAAGAAUGGGUGUGUAGCCUUUGUCGUCGUCAUCGGUGACGGCUAGAUAAAAGUUAAAGGAAGAUUAUCAAAUAGCUUCAUUCGGUUUUAUUACUCAAAAUUACUCGUUGCUUAAAAAUGAUGGAGUGCAGCAAAUGCAUAAACAUAUGGUCGGCUGUUGAGGUUCCCCAUCUUCCAAACAUGUACCACAAGAUUCUACCAGAUUUGAACAAAUAUGUUUCGGCAAAAACAAAUCUAGUAAAAUAUGCAUUCAUAAGAAACUUUGUUUUAGGAAUUUGCAGGCGGCAUACACCAGCUUUUAUUCCUUUUUUAUGAGUGGCAAGAGUUCAUAUAAGGGAAACCGUUGUUCCCAGCACAAAAGUUUGAGCUUAUCAGAAAACAUAGAGGAGCAGCAGCCGAAGCAAAAUAUCAUGUAUAAGAGUUCCCAGCUGAAGCAAAAUAUCUUGGACAUCGCAGUAGGAUGCUACUCUGCUACUCCCUCCGUCCCUUAAUAUAAGUCCUUUUUGUAGUUCAAAUUGAACUGCAAAAACAUCUUAUAUUAAGGGACAGAGGUAGUAGUUAUUACAUGUUUCUUUCUGCCUGGAAGUACUCGGUAAACACCACAGAUUGUUUCAUACACGAUACAACUAUACAACCAUUGCUUCGUUUAUUUAUUUUACAAGCCAAGUGCAUCAUCUUGUGCAUUACAUCACACAUCAAUAUUUUCACUCAUGUCCUCGGAGGUUUCAGUCAGCUCGGACCACGGAGAUAGUAAGUAUACUUGGUAUGGGCGUGCCCUUCGUCACAGAAUAAUGGCCUCGAAGGCAUCCGCAAGCCAUCGCGGCCGCCUUCCAACAUCUCUAUCGCCUCACUCAUCAUCGGCCUGUCAUUAGACCUCAUAUGGAUGCACCAUAAUCCAGCAAUGCACAAGUUCUUCUCCAGCUCAUGCAUACCAGUAUCAUCAACACGAGCGGAUAUCUCACCCACAUGGUCUUGUUCAAUUAGCCGAUCAUACACCCACGCCGGGUAGUACACUUGGCUCGAGUUCGCCACAUUCGGGUCGGCGUUCCUUCUUCCUCCAGCCAUCUCCAGAAGCAGCAUUCAAAAGCUAUAAACAUUGGACUUGCUUGAUAUGACACCAAAGCUCCCAGAUAUCAUCUUAGGAGCUAUGUACCCAACAGUCCCACGUAUGGCAUUAGAGCAUCUCUAGCAGAUCCCUUAAAAACUCGUCGGGUCAUGUUUUUCCGGUGGAUUUAUAGGACGCGCAAUAAAAUCGGCCAGAACAGGCCUUGUGAAAACGGUCCGGCCCGUAAAAUUUUUACGAGAGCGCCCUGAAUCCGCAAUAUGUACUGACGCGAGGGCAUUUUAGGGUUCACGUCCUUUAUUUCCCGUAUCCCCCUCUGCCGCAAUCCCACAUCUCUGGCGAAGAAUCCCUUUUCCUCCGGCAGCGUUUUGCGGUGCACGUAGCCACCUGAACCUCGCCCCGAUGUCGAGUGUGGGUUNNNNNNNNNNNNNNNNNNNNNNNNNNNNNNNNNNNNNNNNNNNNNNNNNNNNNNNNNNNNNNNNNNNNNNNNNNNNNNNNNNNNNNNNNNNNNNNNNNNNNNNNNNNNNNNNNNNNNNNNNNNNNNNNNNNNNNNNNNNNNNNNNNNNNNNNNNNNNNNNNNNNNNNNNNNNNNNNNNNNNNNNNNNNNNNNNNNNNNNNNNNNNNNNNNNNNNNNNNNNNNNNNNNNNNNNNNNNNNNNNNNNNNNNNNNNNNNNNNNNNNNNNNNNNNNNNNNNNNNNNNGAGUGUGGGUUGCGGGAGGGGUGGCCGAGGGGGGGGGGGGCUCAGUGGCCGCGAUGGCUCGCCGCCUCGCAAGCGCCGCAACUACGAUGAUACAAGAGCUCCUCCCUCCGCCCGCCAGUGGAGGAGUGGUGCAAGGAGCAGGCGCGAAAGCACAGCGCGCGGUCCCGCAGCUUCGGCUGCCGGGCCUGGAGCAACUUCGACAGGCUAGACCGGAUCUUCUCGCCCGCGAUCCAGUGUCUUCGGGUGGCCGAGCGUGCAGGGUUCGAGGCGAAGGAUGCGGCUGCCCUCGGAGACGAAGCUGCCGUGGUCUCCCGGUGGCGGAGCAACUUCUGUCAGCAACAUCAGCCACCUCUCCUCGAUCUCUUCAUGAGUGACCCGGAUGGUAUUGUUUUCAAACCCUCCCGACUGCAUCCCUCCUCAGUGCUUCAACCUGCCAUUCCACGACAUUAACAGCGGCAGCUGCUCGGGCGUCCAGAUGCUCGGGUGCCGCCACAGUCGUGUGCUUCUCUCCGGGCGGGCAGAGCUUAUUGUCAUUGUGCCCAUCACCGGCUACGUCACUUGGGGAUGCUCUGUGUUGCUGCUGACCAUGACAAUGUGUGCACGGAAGCUGUCACUUGAGCCCAUUCAAGGUGGUCUUGCUGUCCAAGGCCAGCCACCAUAGUGGUGCAAAGCACGCUUUUGCCAGUUUUACUCCUCAAAGACUGGCAUAUGAGGUGGCCUCAUCUCAAUACCGACUCCAUAUCAGUUUCAUGAUUAUCUUAGUCAUGGGUCACCUGUUGGUAAUUCACUUUAUUGGUUCUGCAGAGACUAUAUUUUUCAGUUUGAUUUAGACAGGCACAACCUAGCUUUGAUCAGAACGCCUCCCAUUAUAGAUGAUGCCCUCCACCACUUUGACGAGCGUUAGAUGGGGUCCACUUACAGUGAAGGAGGUGUACGUGGUCAUCUAUCUCUCAAGGACUUGGGAUGCGGUCCACCUACAGUGAAGAUAAAUACUCUAGUUGCCGAGAUAUAAAAGGCAACUAAUUUUAAAUAUAGUAUAUAGUCCAGGAUAGAUUAUACUCUAGGUUCCUUUUGACUUGUGCGUAGCAUGUAGGGAUAGAUUACUUCUAUGUGAGGGUCAAGUUGAUUAGUCGGAUCAGUAUAAGUAGUAAAGGAUGCUAUCAUGUAAAUGCAGGUUAUAUUUUUAUAAUAAACACGAUGUGUUUUUAGGGUAAAUACCCGUAUCGAGUUUUGGGGGAAGCUGUCUAAAAAUUCAUAAGUUUUGGAGGAAGCUUUAGAAAACCUUUGCGAUUUAUCUUCGUGAAAAUUGUUUUGUGCGUGAGUACCAUCGUCGAGAUUGGUUUUCUCGUGCUGAGCUGUAAGGUUCAAACCCUCUACUUCAUGCAGACGCGUGCGCAGGUGAGAGGUUGCUGGUACUGAAGGUGGAGUGUCGUGAAAAAUCGGGCCGCAACAACAGAUGGGAUCUCGCCAACGGGGUUUUGUCUAUAUCAGGCAAAGCAAGGUCAAUUGUGAGGGUGUUACCGAAUGGGUGUUGUGGAAGACCAUUGAUUUGCAUAACAUUCAUGUGAUCCCUCCUGGGAUGAAAGAAGGGAGGCAAGGGUUGAUAUUUAGAUUGAGGUAUGCUGAGGGUACUGAUGAUAUAUUUCUACAUGUGGGGUUGAGUGUCUAUAUGGUUCGACUUAAGUCGAUGCACUCUAAGAAACAUUGUGAAGCCCGUUGUGUUGAUGGCUAUUAUUCUUUCAAGAGUUUCUAUAUGUCAGGUGAUUGUUCCCCAUUAGUCCUCAUACCAUAGGAAUAACCUAAUCUUGUUAUAUUUUAUACAUAGGUGCUUGAGUACCUUUGCUAGAUAGAUGAACUUAUAGCGGUCCUGUUUAGUACUCCCUCCGUCCGGAAAUACUUGUCUUAGGAAUGGUUGUAUCUAGACUUAUUUUAGUUAUAGAUACAUCCAUUUUCAACCAUUUCUAAGACAAGUAUUUCCGGACGGAGGGAGUAUAUGUUAUCAUGUAAGAUAGCCGUACUUUGUGUAAUUGUGUUAUCCUUCAAUAUUGUUGCCUUCAUCCUUGAGUACCUUUUCUUGACAGAUGAACUUAUAGCCGUACUGUUUAGCAUAUGUUAUCAUUUAAGAUAGCCGUACUUUUUGUUAUCAUUCAAUAUAGUUGUCUUCAUCCUUGGGAGAAAAAAAACAAAUAUCAAAUGAAAUGACCAAUAGUAUAAAUUCUAAUGUCAAAUGGUUAACUCAUUUGGCAUGUUUGGAACCUUAACUACCUAUAUUCUUCUAUGGAGUACUUUUAAUCCUGCUAUUUUUCUUAACUCUGUAAAAGACCUUCCGUUGAAACAAUACAUUCCGGGGUAAUAGUUUUCUUUGUCACUUGUUCAAGACUGUCCUAGUUUUCAUAACUAGUACAUUUUUAACACACCCCUUUUCCCGAAUCAGGCUCCUUCAACACCCAAGUUAAGUUUUAUUGGUAGUGUUUAUGAGUUUUGGCAUGUUUUAUUUUGUCUUCUUCAUAUGACAAGGGAUGAGUUAAAUUCUAGAUCCUGUCUUGAUUUCCUAUGAGCUAAAUUAUUCAUUAUGAGGUAGCUAUGUAAGUAUGUAUACAUUAUACUGCUUUAAAAAUAUUCCUUACAAAAAGCAGCAUAUGUAGUUUUGUUUAUCUAUUGCCAAUAGUCAUCUAUAAAUCAUAAAUACACAAGUGAGUUGUUUUUCCUACAUUUGUUAAUUCAUCUAUGUAACAGACUAACUGUUUUCAUCACAUGCUUAUGCUCCUAGGCGCAGCCUUUGCUCGUGGAUGGGAUGGAGCUGAAACGUGAUGACUGUCUGCUUUGGUGUGCUAAUGUGCCGAAGCGGUUCAAAGAGUAAGACCUUGUGCAUAUAGUUUGCGAGAUUUGAGCUGUUUGAUUUUAUCUUUGGAAAUUAUCUGGCAGCAAUGUGAGUAGUAUGCACCCUGAAACUACUAACCAUCUGGCUAUUGGGAUUCACACAUGCUAAUAACACAGAGAAACAAGUAAAAUGGGAGUGAUGCCAAGUAAAUAAGGAAUCCUUUUAGCUGUAUCAAUGUAUAUAAGCUGAAAUCAUUUAUCAGUAGUCACGUUAUUACAAACAUCAGUCAUGUAAUUCAACUCUGCCACCCAAAAAUAUUGUGUGAAAAAGGAUGAGGGAUAUUUGUUGUCAUCAGUAUAAAUUUGCUUCAUGCUAUAAAUUUGCUUCAACCUGUAAUGUGCCAGUCAAGAGGUUUUGAGACAGAUCUAGCUUGAGGAGAUUGUCAAGAUGAAAUAGACUUGAUGGAAUAAUUGAUGAUAACUGGUUGGCAGACAGUAUCAGGUAUUCUAACUUGGUCAGGUUACCAAUCCCCUCUGGUAUUGAACCAGACAAUUUAUUGUUGGAAAGGAACAAAUGUCCUAUAUUCUUGAGCAUUGCAAUCUGAGGUGGGAUGGACCCAAACAAGUGAUUUCCGU
This 7705-nucleotide long non-coding RNA is filed under the name Triticum aestivum (bread wheat). RNAcentral describes it as "long non-coding RNA (TAES_LNC025001)". The stretch from base 6121 to 6245 matches the Rfam family "MIR1120/MIR1122 microRNA precursor family". The record is from RNAcentral. Lineage: Eukaryota; Viridiplantae; Streptophyta; Magnoliopsida; Poales; Poaceae.